This 373-nucleotide ribosomal RNA is filed under the name uncultured organism. RNAcentral's name for it is "bacterial SSU rRNA". It matches the Rfam family "Bacterial small subunit ribosomal RNA", at positions 526 to 896 of the family's 1533-position model. The record is from RNAcentral.
CGUAGGAGGCGAGCGUUGUCCGGAAUCAUUGGGCGUAAAGAGCGCGCAGGCGGCUUGGCAAGUCGGGUGUGAAAUCCCGGGGCUCAACCCCGUGACUGCAUUCGAUACUGUCAGGCUAGAGGUAGGUAGGGGAGAUCGGAAUUCCUGGUGUAGCGGUGAAAUGCGCAGAUAUCAGGAGGAACACCGGUGGCGAAGGCGGAUCUCUGGGCCUUACCUGACGCUCAGGCGCGAAAGCUAGGGGAGCGAACAGGAUUAGAUACCCUGGUAGUCCUAGCCGUAAACGUUGGGUGCUAGGUGUGGGCGGAUAUCAACCCCGUCCGUGCCGAAGCUAACGCAUUAAGCACCCCGCCUGGGGAGUGCGGCCGCAAGGCUA